Molecule: long non-coding RNA, 812 nt
Filed under: Homo sapiens (human)
Lineage: Eukaryota; Metazoa; Chordata; Mammalia; Primates; Hominidae
Description: HSALNT0151831
Source: RNAcentral
CCAAGGACAGCUUGUGGACUGGGCUCUGGGCUCCCAGGCCAGCGCAUCUGGACUCAGGGCUGGACAGCAGUCAUCCAACGCAGGCAGCUAGAUUGGAAAUUAUGCAGAAUAAACCAUAAGAAAAACAUGUACAGAGCCAAGCAGCUGACUGGAAAUAGGAUUCCAGUCUCAUCAGUAAGCACUUAAUUGUGUGUCCACCGCUGCAGCUGUUGCUGGGAGUUUACUGGGAGGUCCUGUCUUCACAGAUAUCUGGAAGUGAAACUUGUCAUCCAUUUCUCCUAACUUCUUGCUGAAAACAUUUACAUCCUUAAGAUGGGACAUUCAGUGUUCCUGUUUGGAUUUGGGGGUAUGGAGGAGAGGUCUCCAGAUUUCAGGGUCCCAGCUACAUCAUAUCAGUGCCCAAGGCCAUGUCCACACCAUUGGGUGGAUGUGACAGGCCAAGUCAAGGGGGACCAAUGACACCAAUUUUUAGUGUCACUACAGAGUUGAUGGAGUGCUCCCAGGGAGCUUCUGCACUGACUUCAGCUUGUUGAAGGCAAGGUAAAGGCCUGAGAGGCUCGGGGUCUUGUCUGAGGUCUUCAGCUACAUGUCACAAGGCUGUCCUGUGCUCCGGAGCUGCUAGCACUCACAAGACGAGGGUCUGCUGUGCCCUAGCUGGGGCCCCCUUAGUGGCUCAGGGUGGCUGCAGCUUCUAUCGGGACCCCAGUGGGGCCUGGGGCUGAGUUUCUCAAUCAAUGUGUUGCCCAACAGGCCCCAGUGCUGCAGCAGGGCUACCCUCUGCCACUGUUCUCCUCCCUUUCACUGGUGGUGAA